This is a long non-coding RNA of Cephus cinctus (wheat stem sawfly), 2630 nucleotides long. RefSeq lists it as uncharacterized. The record is from RefSeq and is a predicted model, not a curated record. Lineage: Eukaryota; Metazoa; Arthropoda; Insecta; Hymenoptera; Cephidae. The transcript has 3 exons.
AGAGUUAUCAUAUGACAAAUAUAAUUAUGCUAUUUCCACAUUUAAUUUAUAUGAAAGUUUUAAUCUUAUUCAAGAAGUCUGAUUACACGUGUUUUGUUAUAUCAGAUGUAAUAAUUACUAUAACUCUUCUCUAUUUUUGCAUCAUGCGUCGUACAUGUAUCAUAAUAUAUCCUUAUAUACAUGAUUAAUACGGAUCAACUAACACAAGUUAUAUCUUAUCUAGAAAUGAAAAAAACGCUAACAACACCGUGAAUAAGCGAUGAUAAAACAUAAAAAGUAAGACGAAAGGAAGUAAGAUAACUGAAAUCGUGUACUUGGUUUUUCCUGUAUAAGUAAAUUCAAAAGGAAAUGAAGUAGUAUAAUUAUGAAAUACAUUUAAUAUUAAUAAAUCGUAAUAGUAACAACUGUAAAAAAGCACACAUAAUAUAUAAUUUUUAACUACGUUGGAUCGUAUAACGUUUUAUUUGUACAUGAAAGUCUUAUUCAUGCUUACUUUUUCUGCUGUAUUACGAAAUCCUCAUCUUAAAUGUAAAUAAAUUUCUGUAGCUGUGAGAAUUUUUAAUUCAUACACGGUAUAUCACAAAGUAAGUAUUUCAUGUAUUUGCUAUGUCCGUACGUACACGAAUCACAUACUCUGUAUGUAUUUCAGUACAGUACAGUACAAAGCAAGAAUUCAGCAGAACAUGACGUCCAGCAAAACUGAUUGUCUAAUAGAAUGCACCUACAUAGCAAUAAUAAAUGCUUAGAUAUUAAAUAUGUGUGUUUGUGUCCACAUAACCAAUACCAGGAUUCUAAUAAAAUGUUAUGUAUUCUAUAUUAUCCUGUGAUAGUCUUGUUAGAGAAGUGGAAUAUUUCUUAUCUGAGUAAGCUAAUAUUCAUAGUCGUAUCAAUUUUUAAUCAGCGGAAUAAUCACAGGUGCUAAGAGAAAAUAGCGGAUAUAAACUUUGAACACCAUGGAAAAAUAUUUAAUAUAAAGUUGAUUUUGUAAAAUAUAUGACGGAAAAUUUACCAUGGAAACAGUUUACAAUUAUGUUAGAAAUUCAUUGUGGGGCGCGUACGCUCCACGCUGCCUGAUCGAAAAGUAAGAAAAGAAAGUCCGGCACGGAACGUGUUAAUUAUAAUUUGAUGCAGUUUUUUAAAAUUAACGCCAAAAUGAUCUUCGACUAAAUUCCUACUCUUAGGGCAACUACCAGACCAGUACAUACACUAUGGUACACUACCACUGCUACUAAUACAUUAUUUUUACACAACCAUAUGCUGAUUCACUACUCACAAACCAAGUUGCCGAAUCUCCCAACAGAUGGAUCGAAGGCACUGCCAUCGAUGGAACAGAGAAUUAUGUCAGAAUGAUUGCGGUCCAAUUCCAUAAUUCCUGCGCAAAACACCGAAGAAACCGAACCUCCAAAUUCUAAGUCUAAUUGUAAGAGCAUAAGAGGUGCAGGACGAAACUACGACAGUUUGAAUGGUUUCGGAGCGACUAUCGGUGGUCUUAGCGGCAUGGUUUUGGAUUAUUCUACUUGCAGUAGGAAGUGCAAAAAAUGUGACGAAAGUGAGCAUCCACCUAAUCACGACUGUCUUAAACCAUGGAGCCACAAGUCGCCAAAAAACUUGUGGUUGGCAGUCCAAUUCUCGUUCGAAAAGUAUUCAAGUUGGGAUACCGAUAGGGAAUGAUGAUAGUUCUACUAUCGCGGAAUGUCGUGCUGCCAGUUCCCAUCCCAUAAUACGAGUAAAACAAUAGGAUGCCAAUCAUACAUCGAAAGGAGUCAAGAAAGAAUGUAUAAUAUCCAUAAAAGUCACAAAGAAUUAACCAAGGAUUGCAUAGUAUAUCUUCAUGGAUGUUUCAUGUACUUACGCGAUGAAACAAAAUAAAGGUGACAGUAAAGCCAUGGCUGCUGUUAUUCAUUGCAUUCCUUAUCAUGCCUUUAAUGACCAUAGCAAGUGCAGAAGCUGGUAUGGAUAUCUUAAUGAUAAGGAAAAUUACGACAACCGCGUUACACCAGGAGGAUUUCACGAUGCAAAUCUUUUCGAAGCUCUGAAAACAAUUUUCGAAAAAUUGACUAACAAUGUCCACAAACUUUCUGUCGGUGCUUCUAGCAAUGUAAACGAGAAUUUAAAUGCCACAAUGGCCAGCAAAGCACCGAUUCUGUUUCAGCCUGAAUGCCUCAGCGGAUUUUUGAUUUGCGUGUACUAUUGGUAAACAAAUUUUGGUGAGGGCUAUACUUAAAAAACGUUAUUCUGUCUCCUGGAAAACAUCAUUCUCGCCAUAUUGCAAACACUGAGCGAAGACUUUUGUAACGAUGACAACGCAUAAGACCUGCAGCGUUCAAGAGGAGAUGAAUGCAAUUGAAAAAUCAGCGUGCCGCAUUACGUCUUAGAAAGAAAAUAGUGAAGGUACUCGUACGGAACUAACUGUGCCCUUCUCGAUGAACCAGCAGUACAAGACAACGACGAUUCGGAGGAUAGCGAAGAUGAUACUAAUGGAAUACGUCUCGUUUUACUGGAUUUUGGAAACUGCAGAAUUGCGGGACAUAAAUGGCAUCCCGAGCGAGGGGAAUAGGCUACCCCCUCUGCGCGUCAGCCUGGCUUGCUCGCCACCAGUCGCCACUGCCGGCCGCCCCAGUCACGCUUUC